GUAACUGUUCAGGUAUUGACGGUAUUUAACCAGAAAGCCACGGCUAACUACGUGCCAGCAGCCGCGGUAAUACGUAGGUGGCAAGCGUUGUCCGGAUUUAUUGGGCGUAAAGCGAGCGCAGGCGGUUUUUUAAGUCUGAUGUGAAAGCCUUCGGCUCAACCGAAGAAGUGCAUCGGAAACUGGGAAACUUGAGUGCAGAAGAGGACAGUGGAACUCCAUGUGUAGCGGUGAAAUGCGUAGAUAUAUGGAAGAACACCAGUGGCGAAGGCGGCUGUCUGGUCUGUAACUGACGCUGAGGCUCGAAAGUAUGGGUAGCAAACAGGAUUAGAUACCCUGGUAGUCCAUACCGUAAACGAUGAAUGCUAAGUGUUGGAGGGUUUCCGCCCUUCAGUGCUGCAGCUAACGCAUUAAGCAUUCCGCCUGGGGAGUACGGCCGCAAGGCUGAAACUCAAAGGAAUUGACGGGGGCCCGCACAAGCGGUGGAGCAUGUGGUUUAAUUCGAAGCUACGCGAAGAACCUUACCAGGUCUUGACAUACUAUGCAAAUCUAAGAGAUUAGACGUUCCCUUCGGGGACAUGGAUACAGGUGGUGCAUGGUUGUCGUCAGCUCGUGUCGUGAGAUGUUGGGUUAAGUCCCGCAACGAGCGCAACCCUUAUUAUCAGUUGCCAGCAUUAAGUUGGGCACUCUGGUGAGACUGCCGGUGACAAACCGGAGGAAGGUGGGGAUGACGUCAAAUCAUCAUGCCCCUUAUGACCUGGGCUACACACGUGCUACAAUGGAUGGUACAACGAGUUGCGAACUCGCGAGAGUAAGCUAAUCUCUUAAAGCCAUUCUCAGUUCGGAUUGUAGGCUGCAACUCGCCUACAUGAAGUCGGAAUCGCUAGUAAUCGCGGAUCAGCAUGCCGCGGUGAAUACGUUCCCGGGCCUUGUACACACCGCCCGUCACACCAUGAGAGUUUGUAACACCCAAAGUCGGUGGGGUA
This 983-nucleotide ribosomal RNA is filed under the name Lactiplantibacillus plantarum. RNAcentral's name for it is "bacterial SSU rRNA". It matches the Rfam family "Bacterial small subunit ribosomal RNA", at positions 450 to 1437 of the family's 1533-position model. The record is from RNAcentral. Lineage: Bacteria; Bacillati; Bacillota; Bacilli; Lactobacillales; Lactobacillaceae.